This 420-nucleotide ribosomal RNA is filed under the name uncultured bacterium. RNAcentral describes it as "bacterial SSU rRNA". It matches the Rfam family "Bacterial small subunit ribosomal RNA", at positions 358 to 774 of the family's 1533-position model. The record is from RNAcentral.
GGAAUAUUGGACAAUGGCCGGAAGGCUGAUCCAGCCAUGCCGCGUGACGGAAUGAGGCCCUACGGGUCGUAAACGUCUUUUAGUCGGGAGCAAUAAGGGGCACGCGUUGUCCCGAUGAGAGUACCGAUUGAAUAAGCAUCGGCUAACUCCGUGCCAGCAGCCGCGGUAAUACGGAGGAUGCGAGCGUUAUCCGGAUUUAUUGGGUUUAAAGGGUGCGUAGGCGGUCAUUUAAGCGUGAGGUGAAAAGCCCGGGCUCAACCUGGGUCGUGCCUCCCGAACUGGAUGGCUGGAAUGCGGAUGCCGUGGGAGGAAUGAGUAGUGUAGCGGUGAAAUGCAUAGAUAUUACUCAGAACACCGAUUGCGAAGGCAUCUCACGAAUCCGCAAUUGACGCUGAGGCACGAAAGCGUGGGGAUCGAACA